GUUGAAGAACGCAGCGAAAUGCGAUAAGUAAUGUGAAUUGCAGAAUUCAGUGAAUCAUCGAAUCUUUGAACGCACCUUGCGCCCUCUGGUAUUCCGGAGGGCAUGCCUGUUUGAGUGUCAUGAACACCUCACCCCCUCGGGUUUCCGAUCGGGUGGACUUGGGCGUUGCCAGUUACAUGGCUCGCCUUAAAUGUAUUAGCGGUUGUUGACGUAAUAAGUUUCGUCUUGUCGACCGCUCCUAAUCUCCUUAGGGAUGUCUUCGGACACUUCAUGAUCUGACCUCAAAUCAGGUAGGACUACCCGCUGAACUUAAGCAUAUCAAUAAGCGGAGGA
This 333-nucleotide unclassified non-coding RNA is filed under the name soil metagenome. Its description in RNAcentral is "partial contains 5.8S ribosomal RNA, internal transcribed spacer 2, and large subunit ribosomal RNA". The stretch from base 1 to 120 matches the Rfam family "5.8S ribosomal RNA", at positions 35 to 154 of the family's 154-position model. The record is from RNAcentral.